RNAcentral lists this long non-coding RNA (615 nucleotides) under Marmota monax (woodchuck). The record is from RNAcentral. Lineage: Eukaryota; Metazoa; Chordata; Mammalia; Rodentia; Sciuridae.
UAGCUAUUGAAAAUCCUUCUCUUUUUAGGCUCUCAGUCUGUGGCCAUUACUCACUGUUGGCAGUCUGCCCCGUCUCACUUCCGUUACCUUUUUCUUUCAUGGUCUCUGAUGCUGGAAGCCACCUACAGUUUUGAAGUUCCCCACUAGCCUUCCCUGGUGGUUGGCAUUACAUUUGAGUUCGGCUUUCUCGCUUCCUCUACCUUUUGAAAUUUAAAAAUAGAAAAUAACCAACAAACCCUCUGUCUUUCACAUCAGCUGCACUCUAUUAUACAUCUAACAGAUUUUCCGGUGAAUUCCACAGUGUACCAUUUAUAGUCAGAAAUCUGCCAUCAGUUCACAAUAAACCCUGUAAGAAAUUGACAAAGAGCUACUUUUAUUUUGACUAUCAAGCAUAAAAUCAGAAAUGGGAGGUAGCAACUCAUAGGAGAAGGCUUUGAAAAGUGAAUCCAAGAGACAGAAUAGCUCCUAGCCUAUUUUCUCCUUACCUGUCCAACUUCCCUGAGCCAUUGGGUUGAUAAAAAGACUCUUUCAAACUGUUUUUCUUGCACUGUGGAUGGGUCUGGGGAAGCAUGAGACCCUGCAUGGGAGUGAGCAAUAUUUUCAGAGACUCUACCU